RNAcentral lists this ribosomal RNA (917 nucleotides) under Mycobacterium haemophilum. Its description in RNAcentral is "bacterial SSU rRNA". It matches the Rfam family "Bacterial small subunit ribosomal RNA", at positions 80 to 997 of the family's 1533-position model. The record is from RNAcentral. Lineage: Bacteria; Bacillati; Actinomycetota; Actinomycetes; Mycobacteriales; Mycobacteriaceae.
CCAUCGGAACGUCGAGUGGCGACGGGUGAGUAACACGUGGGUAAUCUGCCCUGCACUUCGGGAUAAGCCUGGGAAACUGGGUCUAAUACCGGAUAGGACCUCAAGGCGCAUGCCUUUGUGGUGGAAAGCUUUUGCGGUGUGGGAUGGGCCCGCGGCCUAUCAGCUUGUUGGUGGGGUGACGGCCUACCAAGGCGACGACGGGUAGCCGGCCUGAGAGGGUGUCCGGCCACACUGGGACUGAGAUACGGCCCAGACUCCUACGGGAGGCAGCAGUGGGGAAUAUUGCACAAUGGGCGCAAGCCUGAUGCAGCGACGCCGCGUGGGGGAUGACGGCCUUCGGGUUGUAAACCUCUUUCACCAUCGACGAAGGUUCGGGUUUUCUCGGAUUGACGGUAGGUGGAGAAGAAGCACCGGCCAACUACGUGCCAGCAGCCGCGGUAAUACGUAGGGUGCGAGCGUUGUCCGGAAUUACUGGGCGUAAAGAGCUCGUAGGUGGUUUGUCGCGUUGUUCGUGAAAUCUCACGGCUUAACUGUGAGCGUGCGGGCGAUACGGGCAGACUGGAGUACUGCAGGGGAGACUGGAAUUCCUGGUGUAGCGGUGGAAUGCGCAGAUAUCAGGAGGAACACCGGUGGCGAAGGCGGGUCUCUGGGCAGUAACUGACGCUGAGGAGCGAAAGCGUGGGGAGCGAACAGGAUUAGAUACCCUGGUAGUCCACGCCGUAAACGGUGGGUACUAGGUGUGGGUUUCCUUCCUUGGGAUCCGUGCCGUAGCUAACGCAUUAAGUACCCCGCCUGGGGAGUACGGCCGCAAGGCUAAAACUCAAAGGAAUUGACGGGGGCCCGCACAAGCGGCGGAGCAUGUGGAUUAAUUCGAUGCAACGCGAAGAACCUUACCUGGGUUUGACAUGCACAGGACG